UCCAAGAUUGACCCAAGGUUAUUUCAAAUUAUUAUGUCUAAAACUCAUAUCAUCUCGGGAAAAUAUUGAUGUUGUAGGAAACAAAGAACUAAUCCCAAGUCGAAAAGUCAAGACCUACAACAUGGAGGAAAGCCAAAGGAUGGGCUCAGCAUCCUACAUGCCACCGUGUCAUGUGCGGACUCCUUCCACCUCGAGGCUAUGGGUGGGGAGGUGAUCUACCUAUCGGUGAAGACUUCUUCCAGAUGAGGGAAAAGGAGAAGUUUGAGAAGGAAGCUGAGAGGCAGAAAGAUCAAGGAAAUUUGGAAGACAAGAGCCAAGUCUAGGCAAAAGAGAAGAAAUUAUUGAAAGUUCCUUGCUUGCUAUCAGGCCCUCAUCAAGUAAAGAUGGUUAUACGGUUAACCAGAAGGUUGACCCAGAAACGCCACAUAUAAAGGAGGCCACCAUGUCAGAUGUAUCACCAACUAAAGUAACCAAACACAACAAUGGGGAUCUGCUAUAUAUGAAGGAAUUAUAUCAUGUGCUUCCCAUGGAUUAUGUGACAAUAGCCAAACUUCAAUGAAAGCCAUUGAGCUGCAUAUGGCGAGGCGAUGUCUAGUCAGCACGGACCAG
Zea mays is the source of this 609-nucleotide long non-coding RNA. RefSeq lists it as uncharacterized. Lineage: Eukaryota; Viridiplantae; Streptophyta; Magnoliopsida; Poales; Poaceae. The record is from RefSeq and is a predicted model, not a curated record. The transcript has 7 exons.